CAGUAGCCGCGGGAAUACGGAGGGGGCUAGCGUUGUUCGGAAUUACUGGGCGUAAAGCGCACGUAGGCGGUUUGGUAAGUUAGAGGUGAAAGCCCGGAGCUCAACUCCGGAAUUGCCUUUAAGACUGCCGAGCUAGUAGGUGAGAGAGGUAAGUGGAAUUCCGAGUGUAGAGGUGAAAUUCGUAGAUAUUCGGAAGAACACCAGUGGCGAAGGCGGCUUACUGGCUCAUUCUAGACGCUGAGGUGCGAAAGCGUGGGGAGCAAACAGGAUUAGAGACCCCAGUAGUCCCUGUCUCUUAUAC
Molecule: ribosomal RNA, 301 nt
Filed under: uncultured bacterium
Lineage: Bacteria
Description: partial 16S ribosomal RNA
Rfam family: Bacterial small subunit ribosomal RNA
Source: RNAcentral